CACCACCACCAUUACUUAGCCACCAUUGUCACUCGAUUAAUAAUAGUGAUGUUGAUGAUUGUGGUGGUGGUAGCAAAGUGAGCUAGUGGUGGUGGUGGCGGCGGCGGCGAAUGAAUUGGUUUUGGGAGUAGAUCGAAGUAGGUGUAGGGUUCGGAGGUGCGAAGAGAGUUUUCUCGACAUAGUGUGUGUUCAGUUGGAUCUCAGGUCAGCCCCUGUGUGUAUAUAGAUGGAGACUUGUUCUUAUCAACGCUCUGUAUCUUCUCUUUUUUGUGGAAAUGAAAUGGCAAAUAAGGGUGCCACUGGCCGGCGGCUUCGGCCAAGGUUGACUCGCUCGUAUCGAAUUUCUCUCAAGG
RNAcentral lists this unclassified non-coding RNA (353 nucleotides) under Hevea brasiliensis (rubber tree). The record is from RNAcentral. Lineage: Eukaryota; Viridiplantae; Streptophyta; Magnoliopsida; Malpighiales; Euphorbiaceae.